RNAcentral lists this ribosomal RNA (484 nucleotides) under uncultured bacterium. RNAcentral's name for it is "partial 16S ribosomal RNA". It matches the Rfam family "Bacterial small subunit ribosomal RNA", at positions 30 to 507 of the family's 1533-position model. The record is from RNAcentral.
AUUGAACGCUGGCGGCAGGCCUAACACAUGCAAGUCGAGCGGAUGAAGGGAGCUUGCUCCUGGAUUCAGCGGCGGACGGGUGAGUAAUGCCUAGGAAUCUGCCUGGUAGUGGGGGAUAACGUCCGGAAACGGGCGCUAAUACCGCAUACGUCCUGAGGGAGAAAGUGGGGGAUCUUCGGACCUCACGCUAUCAGAUGAGCCUAGGUCGGAUUAGCUAGUUGGUGGGGUAAAGGCCUACCAAGGCGACGAUCCGUAACUGGUCUGAGAGGAUGAUCAGUCACACUGGAACUGAGACACGGUCCAAACUCCUACGGGAGGCAGCAGUGGGGAAUAUUGGGCAAUGGGCGGAAGCCUGAUCCAGCCAUGCCGCGUGUGUGAAGAAGAUCUUCGGAUUGUAAAGCACUUUAAGUUGGGAGGAAGGGCAGUAAGUUAAUACCUUGCUGUUUUGACGUUACCAACAGAAUAAGCACCGGCUAACUUCGUG